GAUUUAUAAAGAUUAAUCUUUUUUUAGAAAUU
This 32-nucleotide transfer RNA is filed under the name Pemphigus populitransversus (poplar petiole gall aphid). RNAcentral describes it as "partial tRNA-Leu". The record is from RNAcentral. Lineage: Eukaryota; Metazoa; Arthropoda; Insecta; Hemiptera; Aphididae.